Molecule: ribosomal RNA, 463 nt
Filed under: uncultured Alphaproteobacteria bacterium
Lineage: Bacteria; Pseudomonadati; Pseudomonadota; Alphaproteobacteria
Description: bacterial SSU rRNA
Rfam family: Bacterial small subunit ribosomal RNA
Source: RNAcentral
GAGGGUCUCGCGGCCUAUCAGCUAGUUGGCGGGGUAAUGGCCCACCAAGGCGACGACGGGUAGCUGGUCUGAGAGGAUGAUCAGCCACACUGGGACUGAGACACGGCCCAGACUCCUACGGGAGGCAGCAGUGGGGAAUAUUGGACAAUGGGGGCAACCCUGACCCAGCAAUGCCGCGUGAGUGAGGAAGGCCUUCGGGUUGUAAAGCCCUUUCGGCGGGGACGAUGAUGACGGUACCCGCAGAAGAAGCCCCGGCUAACUUCGUGCCAGCAGCCGCGGUAAUACGAAGGGGGCGAGCGUUGUUCGGAUUUACUGGGCGUAAAGGGCGCGCAGGCGGUUAUCCAAGUCAGGCGUGAAAGCCCCGGGCUCAACCUGGGAGGUGCGUCUGGGACUGGAUGACUGGAGGUCGGGAGAGGAGCGUGGAAUUCCCAGUGUAGAGGUGAAAUUCGUAGAUAUUGGGAAG